Long non-coding RNA from Equus quagga, 822 nucleotides. RefSeq lists it as uncharacterized. The transcript is spliced from 3 exons. The record is from RefSeq and is a predicted model, not a curated record. NCBI's taxonomy places the organism in Eukaryota, Metazoa, Chordata, Mammalia, Perissodactyla, Equidae.
ACAAGUGUAGACGUGGAGAGUGCGGAUCAGCACUAUUGCUGUGACUGUGACAGUGGCCCUUCCCCCUUCUCUGUCUUCAGCCAAUGGUGGGACGAAGCAGGUUCCAGGAAGGCAGGGCACAAGACGCAGAGUCACGUGGCACCACAGGACCCCUGCUUGCUGCUAUCUGUGUGAGCCUCCCCCUGUGCUCUUUGAUAUAGGUCUUGGGGAUGUAAUUUGCUGUGUAUGAUUGCUUGCCUUUUCCUUGAUUAUGUAAAUCAGGGACUUUUGCCAGGAACAUUCCAUUCCCGGAAACUAAGCUGGUUCCCUCCCAUCGGCCGACUUGGUUUCAUUUUACUGAAGUUUUUCAAGUGGCAGAGCAGUAAUAACUGUCUGUGCCUCUUGGCAGUGAGAUACCUGGAGUUCAGAACCCUAAACGGUGACAAUGACAGCAGAUGAGUUGGUUUUCUUUGUCAAUGGCAAAAAGGUGGUGGAGAAAAAUGCAGAUCCAGAAACAACCCUUUUGGCCUACCUGAGAAGAAAGUCAAGAAGAGGAAGUGAGGCCUGCAUGGGUUAAAGGACCUGCCUCUCCAUCGUGUCUUCUGGGAAAAUGCUGGCAGAGCCUGGACUAAAGCCUAGAGCCACAAUCUUAACCCCCCACACAUACUGGAAACUCUCCAGUGGUCUGUUGUCAGGCGAUGCUCAUCCUGACCUCUGUCAACAAACCACUUAUGCUCCUAGAGGCAGGGAUGUCUGGUAGCUUAUUCCAAGCACAUAUCUUAGGACAACAAAGGAAGGAAGCGAGCCAGAAAUCAUGGCCUUACCUCCUAGUCACUCACCUCU